UACAGAGGUGGCAAGCGUUGUUCGGAAUUACUGGGCGUAAAGGGCGCGUAGGCGGCCUUCUAAGUCAGACGUGAAAUCCCCCGGCUUAACCUGGGAACUGCGUCUGAUACUGGGAGGCUUGAGUAUGGGAGAGGGAUGUAGAAUUCCAGGUGUAGCGGUGAAAUGCGUAGAUAUCUGGAGGAAUACCGGUGGCGAAGGCGGCAUCCUGGACCGGCAUUGGCGCUGAGGAGCGAAAGCCAGGGGAGCAAACGGG
This 253-nucleotide ribosomal RNA is filed under the name uncultured bacterium. Its description in RNAcentral is "partial 16S ribosomal RNA". It matches the Rfam family "Bacterial small subunit ribosomal RNA", at positions 524 to 776 of the family's 1533-position model. The record is from RNAcentral.